AUGGGGAGGAAAUUGCCCGCUCUUGCUCCGGCCGGGGCGGCGGCGGCGGGAAGGAAGCGAAAAGGUGCCACCUUGACAACGCUCGCCGCGUGCAAGCGCCCUGCGCGGGCGCAAGUAAUCGGCGGCUGGGCGUCCCUGCCCACCGACAUAGUUGGCCUCAUCACCUGCCGGCUCCUGGCCGGCGACGGCGACGGCGACGUGGUUGAUUACAUCGCCUUCCGCGCCGUCUGCUCCGGCUGGCGCGCCUGCACGCCCACGGCGCGCGACCCCACUCUGCGGGAUCCCCGCCUACGCCCGCGCGGCUGGGUCGCUCUCUGUGACGGCGACGCCGUCCGCCUAGACGAUGCCUGCGAGAUCGUCUUCUUCCACACGCGCACGGCCAGGCGCCUCCGCGUCCUCCUCCCGGAGCUCCGGCAACACAGGAUCGUUGGCUUCACCGACGGACUCCUCAUCCUCGUGCACAAGCGCACCACCGAGGUCCGCGUGCUGCAUCCCUUCACGCGCGUCGUGGUCGAUUUCCCGCCCCUCGCCCCGGUGUACCACGCGGUAGUCAGGCGGAUGAAGCUGCUCGACAUGAGCGCCGCGAUAUGCAGCAGCGCGUCCUCGGCGACCUCCAUUGCCGUGGUGGUCUGGUUCCUCUGCACAAGUGUGGUGCUCGGCGCCGACCCGGGUUCAGAUUGGGCCGAGGAACCCCUCGAGAAUUCUGUGGUGGUUGCUCAUGCUCCAUAUUUUGCUGAUCGCCUGUAUAGCGAUUUUCUACUCGUGGAGUCUGGUGGAAGGAUGCUGCUCGUCGUCCGGCACCCAGCUCCUGGCGACCGCUCGCUGUUUCUCAGCGGUGACCGAUGCCUGUCUGUUUCGGCCAGGGACCUCCCAACCUUGAGCAGCAACUCCAUCUACUUCAGUCUACCAUGGGACCCCAUUGUGUUGCAUUCGCUGGGGACUGGUUUGUCCGAGCGCUUAGCCGAGUCCUGCAAAAUACAUGACGGGAAGGACAGGAUACGCCCAUCUGUGCGCCCCUUCACCAUUGCUGAUCAUCUCAUGACCUACUGCCAUACUCCUGAGUGGUCUAAAGGACUCAUGUUCCACGAGUACCAACACAUACCUGAAUCUUUCAAGGAACUGAUUAAGAACAUCCGGGCACAGGAUGCGCAAGUGCGGAUUCCACGUAUUGGUUGA
Molecule: ribosomal RNA, 1176 nt
Filed under: Triticum aestivum (bread wheat)
Lineage: Eukaryota; Viridiplantae; Streptophyta; Magnoliopsida; Poales; Poaceae
Description: partial small subunit ribosomal RNA
Source: RNAcentral